GAUGAACGCUGGCGGCGUGCUUAACACAUGCAAGUCGAACGGGAAACUUUUCAUUGAAGCUUCGGCAGAUUUGGUCUGUUUCUAGUGGCGGACGGGUGAGUAACGCGUGGGUAACCUGCCUUAUACAGGGGGAUAACAACCAGAAAUGGUUGCUAAUACCGCAUAAGCGCACAGGACCGCAUGGUCCGGUGUGAAAAACUCCGGUGGUAUAAGAUGGACCCGCGUCUGAUUAGCUAGUUGGUGGGGUAAUGGCCCACCAAGGCGACGAUCAGUAGCCGGCCUGAGAGGGUGAACGGCCACAUUGGGACUGAGACACGGCCCAAACUCCUACGGGAGGCAGCAGUGGGGAAUAUUGCACAAUGGGGGAAACCCUGAUGCAGCGACGCCGCGUGAAGGAUGAAGUAUUUCGGUAUGUAAACUUCUAUCAGCAGGGAAGAAAAUGACGG
Molecule: ribosomal RNA, 446 nt
Filed under: uncultured bacterium
Lineage: Bacteria
Description: bacterial SSU rRNA
Rfam family: Bacterial small subunit ribosomal RNA
Source: RNAcentral